UGAGAUUUCACCAAACACCCAACCCAAUGGUUCAGAAAAGAGAAGAAGAAACGAGGCAAACAUGGUCGCGUUUUCACCGCCUGCGAGCGACUGCAACAUCAACUCAGCCGUUCACGGCGUCGCGCAAUUCUCAGAUCUCACGCCGUGCGAGUUUCGGAGCAGAUGCCGGCGAACGAAGCGACAUCCACCCUACUGUUUUAGUUUCGGAGCAGAUGCCGGCAACGAACGACGAUCCACCCUACUGUUUUGCACUACGUCGAUGAGGAGAUGGCGGGCGUUGCCGUUCACCGCUGCUAUUGACGGCGAGGGGGAUGUGAAUCGUCGUGGAAAAUCCGUCGAAUGGGGAGAAGGGAUGAGGGAGGCGGCUGAGGGAUUUGAAAGAGAGAGAGAGAGAGAGAGAGAUUAAAAUGGGGGAGUAAAUUUCGCCCCAUCCGUUUUU
RNAcentral lists this long non-coding RNA (439 nucleotides) under Salvia miltiorrhiza (redroot sage). RNAcentral's name for it is "long non-coding RNA (SMIL_LNC000526)". Lineage: Eukaryota; Viridiplantae; Streptophyta; Magnoliopsida; Lamiales; Lamiaceae. The record is from RNAcentral.